This 429-nucleotide ribosomal RNA is filed under the name uncultured bacterium. RNAcentral describes it as "bacterial SSU rRNA". It matches the Rfam family "Bacterial small subunit ribosomal RNA", at positions 29 to 506 of the family's 1533-position model. The record is from RNAcentral.
GCGAACGCUGGCGGCAGGCUUAACACAUGCAAGUCGAACGCACCGCAAGGUGAGUGGCAGACGGGUGAGUAACACGUGGGAACGUGCCCUCCGGUCUGGGAUAACCCUGGGAAACUAGGGCUAAUACCGGAUACGUGCUUUGGCAGAAAGGUUUACUGCCGGAGGAUCGGCCCGCGUCUGAUUAGCUAGUUGGUGGGGUAACGGCCUACCAAGGCGACGAUCAGUAGCUGGUCUGAGAGGAUGAUCAGCCACACUGGGACUGAGACACGGCCCAGACUCCUACGGGAGGCAGCAGUGGGGAAUAUUGGACAAUGGGCGCAAGCCUGAUCCAGCCAUGCCGCGUGAGUGAUGACGGCCUUAGGGUUGUAAAGCUCUUUUCUCCGGGACGAUAAUGACGGUACCGGAAGAAUAAGCCCCGGCUAACUUCGU